This is a long non-coding RNA of Vidua chalybeata, 312 nucleotides long. RefSeq lists it as uncharacterized. The transcript has 3 exons. The record is from RefSeq and is a predicted model, not a curated record. NCBI's taxonomy places the organism in Eukaryota, Metazoa, Chordata, Aves, Passeriformes, Viduidae.
GCCGGGAAGAUAAGGAGAGAGAGGAGGACAAAAAAGAGAAGGAAGAAAAGGAGAAGGAAAAGACUGAGGGAGAAAAAGAGAAGGAGAAGCAGAAGAGGAGGAAGAAGGAAGAAGAAAAGCAGGGAGAUGGGGAAGAGGACAGGAGCAGCAGCAGCUCUGACAGUGACUUGGAGGAGGACCAAGGCGUUGCCAAGGAUGAUGAGAAGGGAGACAAGGAUUAGUCUUUAUGUGCUGGAGCAGCAGCACACGCUAAGGAGGUGGAGAUGCAAAUAGCAGCUUGGGCUGGAGGGCGACUGGACCACUCUUAGCCAA